Helianthus annuus (common sunflower) is the source of this 740-nucleotide long non-coding RNA. RefSeq lists it as uncharacterized. The transcript has 3 exons. Lineage: Eukaryota; Viridiplantae; Streptophyta; Magnoliopsida; Asterales; Asteraceae. The record is from RefSeq and is a predicted model, not a curated record.
UCUGCGGAUGUAAUCUGCAAACGUUAGCAUCUGGUACCUAUUUCAAACAACUGUAGAAUUAAUAUUCGUCGAAUUUUAUGCGCAGAACUCCAUCUGGUUUUAACUUCAUCUGCAAAUCGAUUAAAGCUGUUCAUUUGCAGAUUACAUCCGCAGAUUUUAAAUCUAUCCGCUUAAAACAGUCCUUCAUAGAAUCUGUUUAUCUAUUUAGUGUUUAAUCAAUACACAUCUGUUGAAAUCUAAUCUGAUUCGGGAGUUUGUUUGUUGUUCAUCCGGGCGAUAUAAAUCAUCCGAUCACUAGCAAUUCAGUUUUCAGAAAAUAUGUUAAAAUGUCCCUUCUGUCCUCAUAGCAGAGACUACUGUUACGAGUCUACAUCUUCACAUAUUGAGCUUUCAGAGCCCAGAAGUGCCCAAUGAUAACCAGCCUUCCGGUCUAAUGGAAAGUGGGAAAAAUCUAACUCCAUGGCAGAAUAACACUCUAACUGGUAUUCAGCAGUCUCACAAAGAACCUGGUGAGUUUGAGUUUGUUAACGAUGCUUCGAAUAAUGGCACAGAGUUUAAGAAGGAUGUCUUGAGCGGCAAUUAAAGACACUCAGCGUCAGAUGUGACAACUUUUAGAAGCAGUGAUUCAUCUGAUAAGUCAGCUGGCUUUCCUGCUCCAGAUUUAAGUUCACAGACAAGAUAUGUCCGACGAAGAGGAGCAAAGAAAGUACGAUGGAGGAGUUGCCAGAUGGGAAGAAUCU